RNAcentral lists this ribosomal RNA (253 nucleotides) under uncultured bacterium. Its description in RNAcentral is "partial 16S ribosomal RNA". It matches the Rfam family "Bacterial small subunit ribosomal RNA", at positions 524 to 776 of the family's 1533-position model. The record is from RNAcentral.
GACAGAGGGUGCAAACGUUGUUCGGAAUUACUGGGCGUAAAGCGCGUGUAGGCGGUUUGGUAAGUCGGGUGUGAAAGCCCUGGGCUCAACCCAGGAAGUGCAUUCGAAACUGCUGAGCUAGAGUACUGGAGAGGAAGGCGGAAUUGUCGGUGUAGAGGUGAAAUUCGUAGAUAUCGGCAGGAACACCGGUGGCGAAGGCGGCCUUCUGGACAGAAACUGACGCUGAGACGCGAAAGCGUGGGGAGCAAACAGG